UAAACAUCUGCCGCUGUAUAAGUAAGAACAGAGAGGGCAGAAGAAAGAAGGGAGGGUCAGCGUGGAUUCGGUAACCUGAGCCAGGCCUGUCCCAGUGUUUUGAAAGAAUUCGAGAUACUUGCCAGUGGUUAAAAAUGUGGAGAAAUGACAUUAAAAUUAAGGGUUCUCUACUUGUUGGAGAAAAUGACAACGUGGAGCUGAAGUAGCCAUGAUGUGACUGACUUGAGGGACCAGCGGGAGCUUGUCCACUUCAGGUAGCUGCAGUGCCCACCACUCCCAGCUGAGCCCUGAGGUCCAGCCUUCCCAAAGGUCGGAGGUAUCUCAGCCUCUGGGUGUCUCAUGGCAUUGAAAAAGGGGGGAUUGCCUCAAGCCUUGGGGAUUUCUGGAGGCUCAGAGUAGAUCCACAGGUGCCUCCCUCAGAACUUGGCUGGACCUCAGCAAGGAGUGGGGCAGCUGGAUCCUGCAAAAGUGCCAUGUCCGAGAGAGCAGGGAGACACCCAAGCCACACAGGGUGGGCGUGGGCCCCUUGGGGUCACUAGAGAGGCUUCGUGACUGCUACCUUGACCGUGGCCAGCAAGCUAUCUCUGGAGGGACCCUGAAUUGUGUUUGGGGGGGGUUGGUAACGAGGAUCAAACUUAGGACCUUGUGCUUGCAAGGCCGGCGGAACCACUGAGCUAAAUCCCCGGCCCUACCCCUGAAUUGUUUACUCCACGUUAAAAAAAACUCUGAACACUUUUCACUACCCUAAGUGGUGGAAUGCGCUAAAUGAACAGGGCGCUGGUCUCGGGCAGGUGGGAUGAGUACGUAAAAUUACAUGAAGCAAAAUAAAGGGGUGAACAUCCCAAUUGGAGGGUGAGUGGUCUGCUUCACAGAAAUCCAGGCCCCGGCCUCUCCUCCAGAGUAGCUUCUGCCACCAGGGCAGCAGAGGAUGGAGUGUGGGGGGACAGAGGCAGAAGCCACACACUGACCACAUGGUGCACAUGCCAACCCACCCAUUCUCACCACUGGCACCUCCACUGUGGGCUGAAGUGUGUUUCCCUCCAAAUGUGGCUGGAUUUGCAGAGAGGAACUUUAAAGAGUUAAAGGGAGACCAUUAGGGUGGCCCUAAUCCAACUGACUGGCAUCCUUAUGCCCAGAGGAAAUGGGGGCACACAGAGAUGUGUGUCCGUGGAUGUGUCCAUGAGGGACACAGUGAGAAGGUGGCCAUCUGCAAGCCACGGACAGCAGCCCUGGGAGAAAGCGAACCUACCAAUGUGGGACUUUAGUCACCAGAACUGUGAGGGAAUAGAUUUCUGUUGUUUAAGCCACUCCAUUUAUGGCAUUUGUUUGUUUGGUUUGGUUUUUUUGGUACCAGGGAUCGAACUCCAGACCUUGCGCUUUUGAGGCAGGCAACAGAACCACUGAGCUAAAUCCCCAGCCCCCCUGUCUAUGGCAUUUUGUUAUAGCAGUGUAAGAUGACUAAGCCAACUCUGUAUACAUGCCUCGGCUCCCAGACUGACCCCACAGAUACACACACACACAGUGAGCCUCCUAUCUACUCUCUCUCUCUCUCUCACACACAAACACACACACCCUUUUCAAUUUUAACUGGAUGCAACGUUGAGUCUCUUUAUAUCAAUAGUCUUGAUUCUUAUUUAUAGCUG
Molecule: long non-coding RNA, 1643 nt
Filed under: Heterocephalus glaber (naked mole-rat)
Lineage: Eukaryota; Metazoa; Chordata; Mammalia; Rodentia; Bathyergidae
Description: lncRNA (ENSHGLG00100052297.1)
Source: RNAcentral